CCCAGACUCCUACGGGAGGCAGCAGUGGGGGAUAUUGCACAAUGGGGGAAACCCUGAUGCAGCGACGCCGCGUGAGUGAAGAAGUAUUUCGGUAUGUAAAGCUCUAUCAGCAGGGAAGAAGAUGACAGUACCUGAGUAAGAAGCCCCGGCUAACUACGUGCCAGCAGCCGCGGUAAUACGUAGGGGGCAAGCGUUAUCCGGAUUUACUGGGUGUAAAGGGAGCGUAGACGGUUAUGUAAGUCUGGAGUGAAAGCCCGGGGCCCAACCCCGGGACUGCUUUGGAAACUGUGUAACUAGAGUACAGGAGGGGCAGGCGGAAUUCCUGGUGUAGCGGUGAAAUGCGUAGAUAUUAGGAGGAACACCAGUGGCGAAGGCGGCCUGCUGGACGACAACUGACGGUGAGGCGCGAAAGCGUGGGGAGCAAACAGGAUUAGAUACCCCAGUAGA
RNAcentral lists this ribosomal RNA (447 nucleotides) under uncultured bacterium. Its description in RNAcentral is "bacterial SSU rRNA". It matches the Rfam family "Bacterial small subunit ribosomal RNA", at positions 330 to 794 of the family's 1533-position model. The record is from RNAcentral.